GCCGGGUGCGGUGGCGCGCGCCUGUAGUCCCAGCUACUCGGGAGGCUGAGGCUGGAGGAUGGCUUGAGUCCAGGAGUUCUGGGCUGUCGUGCGCUAUGCCGAUCGGGUGUCCGCACUAAGUUCAGCAUCAAUAUGGUGACCUCCCGGGAGCGGGGGACCACCAGGUUGCCUAAAGACAAGUGAACCGGCCCAGGUCGGAAACAGAGCAGGUCAAAACUCCCGUGCUGAUCAGAGAAGAAUUCUAAAUACUGGCACAAAUAAACGAGGCAGCAUGGUACGUUUUAAGCUUUUA
Molecule: unclassified non-coding RNA, 292 nt
Organism: Oryctolagus cuniculus (rabbit)
Lineage: Eukaryota; Metazoa; Chordata; Mammalia; Lagomorpha; Leporidae
Rfam family: Metazoan signal recognition particle RNA
About the family: The signal recognition particle (SRP) is a universally conserved ribonucleoprotein.
Source: Ensembl